Molecule: ribosomal RNA, 253 nt
Filed under: uncultured bacterium
Lineage: Bacteria
Description: partial 16S ribosomal RNA
Rfam family: Bacterial small subunit ribosomal RNA
Source: RNAcentral
UACGUAGGGUGCGAGCGUUGUCCGGAAUUAUUGGGCGUAAAGGGCUCGUAGGCGGUUUGUCGCGUCGGGAGUGAAAACCCAGGGCUUAACCCUGGGCUGGCUUCCAAUACGGGCAGACUAGAGGUAUGCAGGGGAGAACGGAAUUCCUGGUGUAGCGGUGAAAUGCGCAGAUAUCAGGAGGAACACCGGUGGCGAAGGCGGUUCUCUGGGCAUUACCUGACGCUGAGGAGCGAAAGUGUGGGGAGCGAACAGG